AGUCGCGAUAGUUUAAUUCUUAAAACGCUGUCUUGUAAACCGGAAACUGCAGACUAGUCCCUGCUCGUGACUA
Molecule: transfer RNA, 73 nt
Filed under: Phrynoderma hexadactylum (Indian five-fingered frog)
Lineage: Eukaryota; Metazoa; Chordata; Amphibia; Anura; Dicroglossidae
Description: tRNA-Thr
Rfam family: tRNA
About the family: Transfer RNA (tRNA) molecules are approximately 80 nucleotides in length. Their secondary structure includes four short double-helical elements and three loops (D, anti-codon, and T loops).
Source: RNAcentral